RNAcentral lists this ribosomal RNA (253 nucleotides) under uncultured bacterium. RNAcentral describes it as "partial 16S ribosomal RNA". It matches the Rfam family "Bacterial small subunit ribosomal RNA", at positions 524 to 776 of the family's 1533-position model. The record is from RNAcentral.
UACAGAGGGUGCGAGCGUUGUUCGGAAUUACUGGGCGUAAAGGGCGCGUAGGCGGCACGGCAAGUCGGGAGUGAAAGCCCGGGGCUCAACCCCGGAGGGUCUCUCGAAACUGCCGAGCUAGAGUGCGGAAGAGGCAAUCGGAAUUCCCAGUGUAGCGGUGAAAUGCGUAGAUAUUGGGAAGAACACCGGAGGCGAAAGCAGCUCUCUGGGACGGUACUGACGCUGAGGCGCGAAAGCGUGGGGAGCGAACAGG